CACGUAGGGUGCGAGCGUUGUCCGGAAUUAUUGGGCGUAAAGAGCUCGUAGGCGGUGUGUCGCGUCGGCCGUGAAAACCUGCAGCUUAACUGUGGGCUUGCGGUCGAUACGGGCAUCACUGGAGUUCGGCAGGGGAGACUGGAAUUCCUGGUGUAGCGGUGAAAUGCGCAGAUAUCAGGAGGAACACCCGUAGCGAAGGCGGCACUCUGGGCCGGAACUGACGCUGAGGAGCGAAAGCGUGGGGAGCGAACAGG
This 254-nucleotide ribosomal RNA is filed under the name uncultured bacterium. Its description in RNAcentral is "partial 16S ribosomal RNA". It matches the Rfam family "Bacterial small subunit ribosomal RNA", at positions 524 to 776 of the family's 1533-position model. The record is from RNAcentral.